GACGAACCGUGCGAACGUUGUUCGUAAUAACUGGGCUUAAAGGGUGCGUAGGCGGGUCCGCCAGUCUGUGGUCAAAUCCUCCCGCUCAACGGGCGAACUGCCGUGGAUACUGCGGACCUCGAGGAAGAUAGGGGCGUGCGGAACAGAUGGUGGAGCGGUGAAAUGCGUUGAUAUCAACUGGAACUCCGGUGGCGAAGGCGGCACGCUGGGUCUUUUCUGACGCUGAGGCACGAAAGCUAGGGGAGCAAACGGG
This 253-nucleotide ribosomal RNA is filed under the name uncultured bacterium. Its description in RNAcentral is "partial 16S ribosomal RNA". It matches the Rfam family "Bacterial small subunit ribosomal RNA", at positions 524 to 776 of the family's 1533-position model. The record is from RNAcentral.